AUUUUUGUAUACAUAAUUUGUCUUAAUGAAGAGUAUUGAAUCUUAUAUAUAAAUUAGGUAGCUUGUAAAUAUUUACUAUAUCCAACUUUGCUCUUUAUGCAGAUUGUCUGUGUCAUCAUCAAAUUUGGUCUUAUAGAUUCUUCUUAAAUAGAUCCCAUCUUCUCUAGCUCUCCAAUCCCAUAAGCCAGAAUUUUUAAAUGCUCUAAAGCUCUGACUGUGACUAAAUCCAGGCCCUUGUUUUAAGGUACACAUAAAACGCGUUGUACCAAAUAAAUUAUGAAAGAAAUAAUCUGUAAAUUGUCCUCCAUUUGGUAUUAUUGUUGGACCAAGUACAUCAUUUUUGGAAUAACACCUCAUCCAAAGGGUCUUCUUAUUUUUGAGUUCGUUGACGAUUCUGAUUCCGGCGCCAGAUACAUGGCCAAACAUGCAAAGACUAAAAAAAAUAAAGAAAAUUGUGAAAUAUUUCAUUUUUUCUGUAGAGAAAUUUUGAUUUUUUUUGUCGUGUUGACUUGUUUUUUUGUGUGUAUUUAUAACAACAUCUAUGUUGCUAUUUUUGAAUUUACAGUUUCUUGUUUUCUGUUAACAUAAAUUUUCUAUUAAAUUUUGUCCAACAGAAAAAGUUUUCUAU
Molecule: small RNA, 628 nt
Filed under: Arabidopsis thaliana (thale cress)
Lineage: Eukaryota; Viridiplantae; Streptophyta; Magnoliopsida; Brassicales; Brassicaceae
Description: ATSL149850
Source: RNAcentral